GGCCUAACACAUGCAAGUCGAGGGGUAUAUUUCUUCGGAGAUAGAGACCGGCGCACGGGUGCGUAACGCGUAUGCAAUCUGCCUUUCACAGAGGGAUAGCCCAGAGAAAUUUGGAUUAAUACCUCAUAGUAUUACAGGAUGGCAUCGUCCAGUAAUUAAAGUCACAACGGUGAAAGAUGAGCAUGCGUCCCAUUAGCUAGUUGGUAAGGUAACGGCUUACCAAGGCUACGAUGGGUAGGGGUCCUGAGAGGGAGAUCCCCCACACUGGUACUGAGACACGGACCAGACUCCUACGGGAGGCAGCAGUGAGGAAUAUUGGACAAUGGGCGCAAGCCUGAUCCAGCCAUGCCGCGUGCAGGAUGACGGUCCUAUGGAUUGUAAACUGCUUUUAUACGAGAAGAAACACUCCUUCGUGAAGGAGCUUGACGGUAUCGUAAGAAUAAGGAUCGG
RNAcentral lists this ribosomal RNA (450 nucleotides) under uncultured bacterium. Its description in RNAcentral is "bacterial SSU rRNA". It matches the Rfam family "Bacterial small subunit ribosomal RNA", at positions 45 to 496 of the family's 1533-position model. The record is from RNAcentral.